Molecule: ribosomal RNA, 329 nt
Filed under: uncultured bacterium
Lineage: Bacteria
Description: bacterial SSU rRNA
Rfam family: Bacterial small subunit ribosomal RNA
Source: RNAcentral
UGUGUAGGCGGUUCUCCAAGUUUGGUGUGAAAUCUCCCGGCUCAACCGGGAGGGUGCGCCGAAAACUGGGGGGCUAGAGUGCGGGAUGGGAGAGUGGAAUUCCUGGUGUAGCGGUGAAAUGCGUAGAUAUCAGGAGGAACACCGGUGGUGUAGACGGCUCUCUGGACCGUAACUGACGCUGAGACACGAAAGCGUGGGUAGCAAACAGGAUUAGAUACCCUGGUAGUCCACGCCCUAAACGAUGCAUAUUUGGUGUAGGUCAUUCAGUUGAUCUGUGCCGGAGCUAACGCGUUAAAUAUGCCGCCUGGGGAUACAGUCGCAAGGCUGAA